Molecule: transfer RNA, 69 nt
Filed under: Lophotis ruficrista
Lineage: Eukaryota; Metazoa; Chordata; Aves; Otidiformes; Otididae
Description: tRNA-Trp
Rfam family: tRNA
About the family: Transfer RNA (tRNA) molecules are approximately 80 nucleotides in length. Their secondary structure includes four short double-helical elements and three loops (D, anti-codon, and T loops).
Source: RNAcentral
AGAAACUUAGGAUAGACCAAACCAAAGGCCUUCAAAGCCUUAAACAAGAGUUAACCCUCUUAGUUUCUG